AUUGAACGCUGGCGGCAUGCCUUACACAUGCAAGUCGAACGGCAGCGGACCUUCGGUGCCGGCGAGUGGCGAACGGGUGAGUAAUAUAUCGGAACGUACCUUUCAGUGGGGGAGUAACGUAGCGAAAGUUACGCUAAUACCGCAUAUUCUGUGAGCAGGAAAGCAGGGGAUCGCAAGACCUUGCGCUGAUUGAGCGGCCGAUAUCAGAUUAGCUAGUUGGUGAGGUAAAGGACUCACCAAGGCGACGAUCUGUAGCGGGUCUGAGAGGAUGAUCCGCCACACUGGAACUGAGACACGGUCCAGACUCCUACGGGAGGCAGCAGUGGGGGAAUUUUGGUACAAUAGGGCGGCGAAGACC
This 358-nucleotide ribosomal RNA is filed under the name uncultured bacterium. RNAcentral describes it as "bacterial SSU rRNA". It matches the Rfam family "Bacterial small subunit ribosomal RNA", at positions 30 to 382 of the family's 1533-position model. The record is from RNAcentral.